RNAcentral lists this ribosomal RNA (463 nucleotides) under Mogibacterium timidum. Its description in RNAcentral is "bacterial SSU rRNA". It matches the Rfam family "Bacterial small subunit ribosomal RNA", at positions 28 to 493 of the family's 1533-position model. The record is from RNAcentral. Lineage: Bacteria; Bacillati; Bacillota; Clostridia; Peptostreptococcales; Anaerovoracaceae.
GAUGAACGCGGCGGCGUGCCUAAUACAUGCAAGUCGAGCGAGAAGCUUGGAAAUGACGCUUCGGUUGAUUUUCCAAGCGGACAGCGGCGGACGGGUGAGUAACGCGUAGGCAACCUGCCCCUGACAGAGGGAUAGCCAUUGGAAACGAUGAUUAAAACCUCAUGACACCGUAGUAGCACAUGCUACAUCGGUCAAAGAUUUAUCGGUCAGGGAUGGGCCUGCGUCUGAUUAACUGGUUGGUGAGGUAACGGCUCACCAAGGUGACGAUCAGUAGCCGACCUGAGAGGGUGAUCGGCCACAUUGGAACUGAGACACGGUCCAAACUUCUACGGAAGGCAGCAGUAGGGAAUCUUGCACAAUGGGCGAAAGCCUGAUGCAGCAACGCCGCGUGAAGGAUGAAGGCCUUCGGGUUGUAAACUUCUGUUCUAAGGGAAGAAAGAAAUGACGUACCUAGGAGCAGCCC